RNAcentral lists this ribosomal RNA (235 nucleotides) under uncultured bacterium. RNAcentral describes it as "partial 16S ribosomal RNA". It matches the Rfam family "Bacterial small subunit ribosomal RNA", at positions 99 to 334 of the family's 1533-position model. The record is from RNAcentral.
CGGACGGGUGAGUAACGCGCGGGUAACCUGCCCUGUACAGGGGGAUAACAAUCAGAAAUGACUGCUAAUACCGCAUAAGACCACAGCACCGCAUGGUGCAGGGGUAAAAACUCCGGUGGUACAGGAUGGACCCGCGUCUGAUUAGCUGGUUGGUGAGGUAACGGCUCACCAAGGCGACGAUCAGUAGCCGGCUUGAGAGAGUGAACGGCCACAUUGGGACUGAGACACGGCCCAA